RNAcentral lists this ribosomal RNA (497 nucleotides) under uncultured bacterium. Its description in RNAcentral is "partial 16S ribosomal RNA". It matches the Rfam family "Bacterial small subunit ribosomal RNA", at positions 28 to 507 of the family's 1533-position model. The record is from RNAcentral.
GAUGAACGCUGGCGGCGUGCCUAAUACAUGCAAGUCGAGCGAACAGACGAGGAGCUUGCUCCUCUGACGUUAGCGGCGGACGGGUGAGUAACACGUGGAUAACCUACCUAUAAGACUGGGAUCACUUCGGGAAACCGGCGCUAAUACCGGAUAAUAUAUUGAACCGCAUGGUUCAAUAGUGAAAGACGGUUUUGCUGUCACUUCUAGAUGGAUCCGCGCCGCAUUAGCUAGUUGGUAAGGUAACGGCUUACCAAGGCAACGAUGCGUAGCCGACCUGAGAGGGUGAUCGGCCACACUGGAACGGAGACACGGUCCAGACGCCUACGGGAGGCAGCAGUAGGGAAUCGUCCGCAAUGGGCGAAAGCAUGACGGAGCAACGCCGCGUGAGUGAUGAAGGUCUUCGGAUCGUAAAACUCUGUUAUGAGGGAAGAACAAAUGUGUAAGUAACUAUGCACGUCUUGACGGUACCUAAUCAGAAAGCCACGGCUAACUACGUG